AUUAGGCGGUUUUCCUCGAAUGAAUAAUCUGCUUCAUAUUCGUGAAGCUGGCCUGUAGAUUUCUAAAAAUUGCUUGAUUUUUCUUAUUAAACUUUCAAACUAAAGGAUUGUGUAUACCAAGAUAUGUCAGGGAAAACAAUCCAUCAUAUCGAAAUUAUUAAUUGUAUCAAAUGUAAAACUGAAGAAAAAUAUUAUGUAAGUAUUUUUUUAUUUGAAAAAGAUAAUAGGAGUUUUUGAUGAUACAACAAAAUACUAGCAUUUGAAGUAACAGCUAAUCUGGAGAUGGACACCAAAACAUCUAAACUUAAAAUAUCAGUAAGUCGAAGAAAGGCCAAAAAUCUAAAUACUACCAAUAUUGCGAGUUGUCAUGUUAAAUCGUUAAGUUUUUUGUGGCCUUCUAUUUAAUUUUGGCAGGCUACCAGUAGAAUUCCUUUGAAUAAAUAUUUUAUAUUAAUAAAAAUGAAAUUGAGAAGAAAAAAUUGUUUAAAAACAUUGCUUAUGUUGGCAUUUUUAGUUGCUAAUUAAAUCCUAGCUGCUGGUGUCCGAUAUCAAUCUGGUUCUAAGUUAGAAGGAUAUCUACUUGUUUAAAAAAUUUUGAUCUACCUAUUUAAGUAGAAUGCAGAGUAGCUAACAAUCCAAAAAAAGUACAUGUCUAUAUUAUCAAUUACGGUCAAUGUGUAUCUUGAAAAAUGUUAUGUCAGUUUUAUUAGUUACUAAUAUUAUUUAAGAAAAUCAAACUGCAAGUUUUUAUGACAUGUUUGCAAUUUAUGCACUUUGCAAAUACUAUUCAUUAAAUUUUGUAAAUGUUAUUUUUGUCUGAGAAAUGCUAUUUUCUUAUCAGCCUUUUAACUGAGAGUUACUUUUUUGUACGUCUUUAUAGGUUUAUGCCAUUAAGCUGCUAUGGACAGAUGGGACGAAAAAUGUAGUUUAUCGAAGAUACAGCGAAUUUCGAAAAUUGCAUGUGAGUUUUCAAAUUCAUGAGAUUAAAUGUCAAAUAGGUUGGCUAAGUAUGGGUCAUGCGAUUAUUCAUACAUUUUCGUUUGCAACUUACUGAUAAUUAAAAUAUCCUGUCGAAUUAGUUAAAAGUUAUCCUCAUUUGUUCAAAUUUGGGACAAAUUUUGAAGAAAUAAUGCCAAAAUUUCCUCCCAAGCAUCCUAGGAAAUGUCGACAAAUUGCAGAAAGUCGGCUUAAACCUCUAAAUGAUUAUUGCAAGUCUCUUCAAACCUUGGAAAAGUAUUUUAGCCGGGAUAUUCUUGUUCAGACCUUCUUCAGCCCUAAGGAGAGUGAUCUUGAUGAUAACGAACCAUCAAGAAAUAAUUCUUCAAAAAAUAUGGAAAUAUCCACUCCCAGGAAACUACAAGAAUGGCUAUGCAUAGAAGACUUUUGUCCUGAGGGAGAGUAUGAGGUAGCUGUAAAAAAAUUUGAAAUUGUCCGAGUGAUGGAAAAGUUUGAUAGCGGGUGGUGGCGAAUAAGCACGGAAGAUGGCUCUAUAGGUUGCGUUCCGGCUUCAUAUCUUCAACUCAGUCAAAACAAUGUUGUUCUGCCAGAGGCAAAAUGGUAUGAAUGUAUAAAGCCCUACUCCGCUUCUACUGACGAUGAAUUAUCACUAGAGUUGAAUCAGGAAGUCUUAAUUACAAAAACAAACGUAACGGGAUGGUGGCUAGGAUGGGCCAAUGGAAGAGAAGGCCUAAUUCCAAAGGCCUGUAUAAAGGAAAAAACAUCAAAUGCUGCUGAUGGAAACAGUUUUAGAAAAGAGAAUUUUCAUUUAUCUGUUGGCUUAUUCAAAGCUAUAGAAGAUUAUGCACCAGUCUCCGAUAAUUGCGUCAAACUUAACUCUGGGGAUAUAGUUUGCAUAACAGCAAUAUAUCCUGAUAAUUGUUGGAUGUAUGGAACAAAGCAUUUAUCUCGAAUACCAUGUGACAAAAAGCGUUGUAAUAAAUGCGGCUGGAUACCUGCUCAAUUUUUGAUUAAAGUACCAGAUAAUUCAUGUUCUAUUGCAUCAGAAAAUGGUAUUAAUGGGGAAAAUAUCUCAGAAUCCACAUGUGAAUCUUUGGACAGCCAUCCAGUCAGGGGAAUAUUUAAAUUGUAAAAAACCUCCUAUAGUGAAGCCUAAACCAACUAUUAGAUAAGCAUAUAAGAAAAAUGGCCUAAAAAGAAUUUAUUAAAUAUAAAGGCAUAAUAUGAUUCAACAUUAUUUCAUAAAUCUAUCAUUGCAUAAAUUUAUCUUUGCAAGUCUUUAAUUUAAAUAGAAUAUUUAAAACAAACAAUUGAUUUGAAGAUAUAGAUUGUCAUAUUCUCUCGUUCAUAUCUUUGUACAGCUUUCACUCAUUAUUUCUGAAUAUUUAUUCAUCAAACGAUCACAGUAUUAAAUUAAUAGUUAAUUAGAUGCAAUCGUUAUUUAAAUUGGGGUGUUUGUUUUAAUCGAGGCUAGGUGACCUUAAUAACUAUUAUUUGUGGGACUAAGGAGUUUAUGUAAAAUAUUUAACGGUAUCUUUAUGAAUGGAGUCAAAUAAAUUUUUAAAAUAUUUCUUAUUCACUUUGUAUAUUCAAACUCAUAACUGUUCCUUUGACAAGUACACCACAAUAAAUAAUGAUGUCCGUAUAUCUUACUUAUUAAACUUUGAAAUAUAAAAUUUUUAGAAAUUUUUUUUGACAAUAGAUAAAUUUGGUGGGAAAUUCUUUCACAUCUGCAACGAUUGCUCUAGUUUUAUUAUUUGACUGAGUUAUUUUAUUAAGUAAACGAUGUAUAGCUAUAUUUAGUAACAAUCUAAUUUAUAGAAAAUGCUUUGUUCAUAUGAACAUUACUCUUCCUGAAAAGUAGAAUAUUGCCAUGACAGACUAGACUGUUUGAGCAGACACAUAUAAAAGAUAUACUUCUUUAUAUA
RNAcentral lists this unclassified non-coding RNA (2885 nucleotides) under Dimorphilus gyrociliatus. RNAcentral's name for it is "dgyrCDS2282". The record is from RNAcentral. Lineage: Eukaryota; Metazoa; Annelida; Polychaeta; Dinophilidae.